This 253-nucleotide ribosomal RNA is filed under the name uncultured prokaryote. Its description in RNAcentral is "partial 16S ribosomal RNA". It matches the Rfam family "Bacterial small subunit ribosomal RNA", at positions 525 to 777 of the family's 1533-position model. The record is from RNAcentral.
ACGGGGGGUGCGAGCGUUGUCCGGAAUCACUGGGCGUAAAGGGCGCGUAGGUGGUUUGAUAAGGGUGUGGUGAAAGUCCGGGGCUCAACCCCGGAUCUGCCGUGCCGACUGUCAAACUCGAGGGCUGUAGAGGCAGACGGAAUUCCGGGUGUAGCGGUGGAAUGCGUAGAGAUCCGGAGGAAGACCGGUGGCGAAAGCGGCUUCCUGGACCAGCACCGACGUUCAGGCACGAAAGCGUGGGGAGCAAACAGGA